ACCUGGCUGGCUCAGUUUGUCGAUAGAGCAUUGGACUCUUGAUCUCCAGGUUGUGGAUUCGAAUCCCAUGUUGGGUG
This 77-nucleotide transfer RNA is filed under the name Canis lupus familiaris (dog). It matches the Rfam family "tRNA". Rfam says of the family: Transfer RNA (tRNA) molecules are approximately 80 nucleotides in length. Their secondary structure includes four short double-helical elements and three loops (D, anti-codon, and T loops). Further hydrogen bonds mediate the characteristic L-shaped molecular structure. tRNAs have two regions of fundamental functional importance: the anti-codon, which is responsible for specific mRNA codon recognition, and the 3' end, to which the tRNAs corresponding amino acid is attached (by aminoacyl-tRNA synthetases). tRNAs cope with the degeneracy of the genetic code in two manners: having more than one tRNA (with a specific anti-codon) for a particular amino acid; and 'wobble' base-pairing, i.e. permitting non-standard base-pairing at the 3rd anti-codon position. Lineage: Eukaryota; Metazoa; Chordata; Mammalia; Carnivora; Canidae. RNAcentral also lists the same sequence under 1 other name. The record is from Rfam by way of RNAcentral.